GUUGGCAAGAACAAGCACCUUAAAAAAGGUGGCGAAAAUACCGCCAAGAUAAAAGCAGUUCAUGCAUGUUCUAAGAAAGAUUGGUAUGAUGUGAAAGCACCAGUUAUGGUGAUUAUAGGAAAUAUUGGAUAAAACACUAGUCGCAAGGACUCAAGGAGCCAAAAUUGCAUCUGAUACCUGGAAAUCAUCAUGUUUUUGAAGUGAACUUUGCUGAUCUGCAGAAUGAUGAAUUUGCAUUAGAAACUCAAACCAAUUAUGGAGAAUGUUCAAGGCAAAAACUGCCUGGUCAACUUUCAU
Molecule: long non-coding RNA, 297 nt
Filed under: Homo sapiens (human)
Lineage: Eukaryota; Metazoa; Chordata; Mammalia; Primates; Hominidae
Description: non-protein coding lnc-BORA-27:1
Source: RNAcentral